Long non-coding RNA from Melanotaenia boesemani (Boeseman's rainbowfish), 401 nucleotides. RefSeq lists it as uncharacterized. The record is from RefSeq and is a predicted model, not a curated record. NCBI's taxonomy places the organism in Eukaryota, Metazoa, Chordata, Actinopteri, Atheriniformes, Melanotaeniidae. The transcript has 3 exons.
CACUGCAAUUGUAUCUUGACUGAGACAAGGGAGAAAAACAAGAUGUGACAGUCCCAGUGGCCAGGCUAAAUGCUGGCAGAGGCCUUGUAUGUAUUCAAGGUUGACUCUUCUCCUUGGGGACCAUUAGUUACAACCUUUGAGAAGUACUGAUUGGAAGAGGAGGUGCUCUGCAUAUCAACAGGAAGAAGCAUCCCCUGAGAUUCAACAAGAUCACACUGUUGCUGCAUUUAAAGCAGGAUGGAUUCAUGCUUGGUGAUUUCUAACCCUACUAUCUGAAUGUGGAGCUGCAAUCAGAACUCAUCAGACCGGCCUCCUCCACGAUGAUGACAUCUGCCUCACUUGGAGGAAAUAAAAAGUAUGAAAUGCAGCAUGACCCUUCAGACUGAGGUUGUUUUGCAAAA